Molecule: long non-coding RNA, 1711 nt
Organism: Equus caballus (horse)
Lineage: Eukaryota; Metazoa; Chordata; Mammalia; Perissodactyla; Equidae
Source: Ensembl
GGACGCGUGCGGGCCACUGUCCCCAGUCUAUUCCGCGCGCCCAUCUCCGCACCCUCGCACCCUCCUCGGGACACUUGUCCCUCGACUCCCUACCCCAGGCCCGCCCGAAGCACUCGGGCCACCUUCUCGGGAGGUCCCCAGGAUAUUUUCCUGGGGCGACCUGCGCAGCGAGGAAAGGAGGGAUUUCAGAGAAGGGACACAAGGGGGGAUUCCCUGGGAGGGGGGUGCGAUGGCAGACCACAGAUAAAGGAGCGGGUGCCAAAGCGCGGGCCUCUGCUCCGUUGGGGGGCACUGGGAGGCCCCAUGGGCAGAGUUGGAAACUUUUCCUCCACGUGGUAGCACAACCCGUGGCCAAGUGACUCGGCACCCGAAUGACCUCUAGGCCCUCCUCGCCUUCAAGCGGGGGCCCCUGGGACGCGCGGGCGGCUUUGGAGCUGGCAGCGUGAGGUUGUGCUGCCGGGGACCGAACUUGAACCUCGGCAGCGGCGCGCGAGGGGGCGGGGCAGAAGCGGCCAGAACCGCCGCAACCCUGAGGACCCGUUAGACCCGCAAAAUUCAGUCCCAACCACGGCGAGCUUCCUUUAUUUGCGGGGAGCGAGGUCUUCCUGCUUUUCCUAUCACUGCCCCUGCUCCCGCCGCAAUGUACCUGAUGCUUAUAAAAAGUUGUAUUAAAGAGCCGACUGCAGCCCAGAAUCGAUCAACAAAAACGACCAGCCUCUCUGGGUAAAAUAGCUGUGCGUUUUUCGGAGCACUGGAAUUGAUCUACAUGGAUCAGAAAGACGCCAAUAGCCCUCUCUCACAAACCGGUACCUCUGAUGAAUGGCACAUUGAUCAACCCAUAUUCUUUAGACUCUGCCAUAUGAAGCCAAUGAAAAAUACCUGAUGACCAAAUGAUGAUUAUGUGAAAAAGUAGUUUUGGCAAUUUAAUAAGCUUUAGAUUUUCACAAAACCAGCCAGUCUCAGGACAAAGCUUUCUACUUGAAGAUUACAUGACAUGAUCAGGUGGGAAAAUUGAUAGAUAAGCGUAAAAAAAAACUUCAAAUGACUCUUUAAAGCUACCAAUGGGAGAUAUCCGUAUUCAUUACUGAUUAUAACCCUGAGGAUCAAUUUCUCUGUUGAAUUUGGUAGAUGACUUGGGAUGAAUCACAUGAUUUUAUUUUCAUUUUUAUUUGAAGAGCAGUAUAGAUCUAAAAGGAUAAGAUUCAGAUAACAACAUCCUGGUUGAAGAAAUUAUCGAUUCUUUGGAAUUACAUGAAGAACAUAAUAAAUUAUAUCCCAGACUUAAUUGCAAGAUCCUAUUUUACAAAACCUAGUAAUUAUUUUACAUUUCUGCUGUGUUCAAGGCUUUUUGUGGUCUGGUCCCAGUUACAUUUUCAAACUCCUUUAUUCCAGCAUAUAUAUUUCUAUGGAUCCUAAACUGGCUCUUACCCAGAACACUUCCAUGCCUUUGCCUAUGCUGGUCCAUCACCCUAGAGUCUCCUUUCCUGACAGCUGGACUUACUGAAUGUCUACUCAUCCAUCAAGACCAAUUUAUCCAUCAAGGCGAACUCAUCCAGAAAGCUUAGUCAGAUUGCUACUUCCAUUCAAAAUUAACAGCUUCCUCUCUGCUUAUGUAGCACUUUAAUUUAUAUAUUUUUAAUAUAUUUCAAAAUAAUAUAAUGAACCAUCAUGUACUUUCCCAGUAGCUUAAGAAAUAAAACAUUUGCAAAAU